ACUAUUUUGGCAGAUUAGUGCGAUGGAUUUAGAAUCUUUAUAUGUAUAAUUAUACAAAUAGUA
RNAcentral lists this transfer RNA (63 nucleotides) under Silvanidae sp. KM-2017. Its description in RNAcentral is "tRNA-Leu". The record is from RNAcentral. Lineage: Eukaryota; Metazoa; Arthropoda; Insecta; Coleoptera; Silvanidae.